GUGUCAGCAGCCGCGGUAAGACGAACCGUGCGAACGUUGUUCGGAAUCACUGGGCUUAAAGGGCGCGUAGGCGGGCGACCAAGUCAGGGGUGAAAUCUUUCGGCUUAACCGGAAAAUAGCCUCUGAUACUGGUUGUCUUGAGGGAGGUAGGGGUCUGUGGAACUUCUGGUGGAGCGGUGAAAUGCGUAGAUAUCAGAAGGAACGCCGGUGGCGAAAGCGACGGACUGGACCUCAUCUGACGCUGAGGCGCGAAAGCUAGGGGAGCAAACGGGAUUAGAAACCCGCGUAGUCC
This 292-nucleotide ribosomal RNA is filed under the name uncultured bacterium. RNAcentral describes it as "partial 16S ribosomal RNA". It matches the Rfam family "Bacterial small subunit ribosomal RNA", at positions 505 to 796 of the family's 1533-position model. The record is from RNAcentral.